This 745-nucleotide ribosomal RNA is filed under the name Shigella flexneri. RNAcentral's name for it is "bacterial SSU rRNA". It matches the Rfam family "Bacterial small subunit ribosomal RNA", at positions 800 to 1533 of the family's 1533-position model. The record is from RNAcentral. Lineage: Bacteria; Pseudomonadati; Pseudomonadota; Gammaproteobacteria; Enterobacterales; Enterobacteriaceae.
CCGUAAACGAUGUCGACUUGGAGGUUGUGCCCUUGAGGCGUGGCUUCCGGAGCUAACGCGUUAAGUCGACCGCCUGGGGAGUACGGCCGCAAGGUUAAAACUCAAAUGAAUUGACGGGGGCCCGCACAAGCGGUGGAGCAUGUGGUUUAAUUCGAUGCAACGCGAAGAACCUUACCUGGUCUUGACAUCCACGGAAGUUUUCAGAGAUGAGAAUGUGCCUUCGGGAACCGUGAGACAGGUGCUGCAUGGCUGUCGUCAGCUCGUGUUGUGAAAUGUUGGGUUAAGUCCCGCAACGAGCGCAACCCUUAUCCUUUGUUGCCAGCGGUCCGGCCGGGAACUCAAAGGAGACUGCCAGUGAUAAACUGGAGGAAGGUGGGGAUGACGUCAAGUCAUCAUGGCCCUUACGACCAGGGCUACACACGUGCUACAAUGGCGCAUACAAAGAGAAGCGACCUCGCGAGAGCAAGCGGACCUCAUAAAGUGCGUCGUAGUCCGGAUUGGAGUCUGCAACUCGACUCCAUGAAGUCGGAAUCGCUAGUAAUCGUGGAUCAGAAUGCCACGGUGAAUACGUUCCCGGGCCUUGUACACACCGCCCGUCACACCAUGGGAGUGGGUUGCAAAAGAAGUAGGUAGCUUAACCUUCGGGAGGGCGCUUACCACUUUGUGAUUCAUGACUGGGGUGAAGUCGUAACAAGGUAACCGUAGGGGAACCUGCGGUUGGAUCACCUCCUUACCUUAAAGAAGC